UACGUAGGGUCCAAGCGUUAUCCGGAAUCACUGGGCGUAAAGGGUGCGUAGGUGGUGAGGUAAGUCGGAUGUGAAAUCUCCGGGCUCAACCCGGAAAUGGCAUUGGAAACUACCUUGCUGGAGGAUUUGAGGGGGGAUUGGAAUACUUGGUGUAGCAGUGAAAUGCGUAGAUAUCAAGUGGAACACCAGUGGCGAAGGCGAAUCCCUGGAAAAUACCUGACACUGAGGCACGAAAGCUAGGGGAGCAAACAGG
This 253-nucleotide ribosomal RNA is filed under the name uncultured bacterium. Its description in RNAcentral is "partial 16S ribosomal RNA". It matches the Rfam family "Bacterial small subunit ribosomal RNA", at positions 524 to 776 of the family's 1533-position model. The record is from RNAcentral.